RNAcentral lists this ribosomal RNA (497 nucleotides) under uncultured bacterium. RNAcentral's name for it is "partial 16S ribosomal RNA". It matches the Rfam family "Bacterial small subunit ribosomal RNA", at positions 28 to 507 of the family's 1533-position model. The record is from RNAcentral.
GAUGAACGCUGGCGGCGUGCCUAAUACAUGCAAGUCGAGCGAACGGACGAGAAGCUUGCUUCUCUGAUGUUAGCGGCGGACGGGUGAGUAACACGUGGAUAACCUACCUAUAAGACUGGGAUAACUUCGGGAAACCGGAGCUAAUACCGGAUAAUAUUUUGAACCGCAUGGUUCAAAAGUGAAAGACGGUCUUGCUGUCACUUAUAGAUGGAUCCGCGCUGCAUUAGCUAGUUGGUAAGGUAACGGCUUACCAAGGCAACGAUGCAUAGGCGACCUGAGAGGGUGAUCGGCCACACUGGAACUGAGACACGGUCCAGACUCCUACGGGAGGCAGCAGUAGGGAAUCUUCCGCAAUGGGCGAAAGCCUGACGGAGCAACGCCGCGUGAGUGAUGAAGGUCUUCGGAUCGUAAAACUCUGUUAUUAGGGAAGAACAUAUGUGUAAGUAACUGUGCACAUCUUGACGGUACCUAAUCAGAAAGCCACGGCUAACUACGUG